Molecule: ribosomal RNA, 377 nt
Filed under: uncultured bacterium
Lineage: Bacteria
Description: bacterial SSU rRNA
Rfam family: Bacterial small subunit ribosomal RNA
Source: RNAcentral
GUAGUCCACGCCGUAAACGAUGGAUACUAGAUGUCGGACGCCUUGCCCGUCCGGUGUCGUAGCUAACGCGUUAAGUAUCCCGCCUGGGAAGUACGGUCGCAAGAUUAAAACUCAAAGAAAUUGACGGGGGCCCGCACAAGCGGUGGAGUAUGUGGUUUAAUUCGAUGCAACGCGAAAAACCUUACCUAGGCUUGACAUCCCGCGCUAUCCUAUGAAAGUAGGAGUUCCCUUCGGGGACGCGGUGACAGGUGUUGCAUGGCUGUCGUCAGCUCGUGUCGUGAGAUGUUGGGUUAAGUCCCGCAACGAGCGCAACCCUCGCUACUAGUUGCUACCAUUUAGUUGGGCACUCUAGUAGGACCGCUUGCCGAUAAGGCAGA